UACGUAGGGUGCAAGCGUUGUCCGGAUUUAUUGGGCGUAAAGAGCGUGUAGGCGGCUUUACAGGUCCGUUGUGAAAACUCGAGGCUCAACCUCGAGACGCCGGUGGAAACCGUAAGGCUAGAGUCCGGAAGAGGAGAGUGGAAUUCCUGGUGUAGCGGUGGAAUGCGCAGAUAUCAGGAGAACACCAAUGGCGAAGGCAGAUCUCUGGGCCGUAACUGACGCUGAGGAGCGAAAGCGUGGGGAGCGAACAGG
This 252-nucleotide ribosomal RNA is filed under the name uncultured bacterium. RNAcentral describes it as "partial 16S ribosomal RNA". It matches the Rfam family "Bacterial small subunit ribosomal RNA", at positions 524 to 776 of the family's 1533-position model. The record is from RNAcentral.